This 338-nucleotide ribosomal RNA is filed under the name uncultured Pseudomonadota bacterium. Its description in RNAcentral is "bacterial SSU rRNA". It matches the Rfam family "Bacterial small subunit ribosomal RNA", at positions 29 to 351 of the family's 1533-position model. Lineage: Bacteria; Pseudomonadati; Pseudomonadota. The record is from RNAcentral.
AACGAACGCUGGCGGCGUGCCUAACACAUGCAAGUCGAACGGAAUCAAGGGGCUUGCUCCUUGGUUUAGUGGCGCACGGGUGAGUAACGCGUGGAUAAUCUGCCCUGGUAUCCUGGAUAACAUUUCGAAAGAGGUGCUAAUACGGGAUAAGCCCACGGGAUCUUCGGAUCUUGCGGGAAAAGGUGGGGACCUUCGGGCCUACCGUAUCAGGAUGAGUCCGCGUACCAUUAGCUAGUUGGCGGGGUAACGGCCCACCAAGGCGACGAUGGUUAGCUGGUCUGAGAGGAUGAUCAGCCACACUGGAACUGAGACACGGUCCAGACUCCUACGGGAGGCUG